Long non-coding RNA from Gadus chalcogrammus (walleye pollock), 320 nucleotides. RefSeq lists it as uncharacterized. Lineage: Eukaryota; Metazoa; Chordata; Actinopteri; Gadiformes; Gadidae. The record is from RefSeq and is a predicted model, not a curated record. The transcript has 3 exons.
GUGGGGCCGGAUCAGUUUCUGGUGGCGCUGGGUAUGGACCAGGUGGAGCCGGGUUUGGACCAGGUGGAGUGGGAUCUCAAAGUGGAGGAGCAGGGACAGCAGCCGGAGGGUAUGAUGCCAAUGCCAAAGCCCGUAAAUAUGGUAUGUUAAGUGGAGCGCUUGGAGGCGGUCUUGGAGCAGGAACAGGUGGAACCAGAACAGGAUAUGGACCUGGGGGUGGAACAGGAACUGGUUCUGCUGGCACUGGAACUGGCCUUGGACCAGGAAGUGGAGGGGCAGGCUAUGGACCUGGUCGAGGUGCUGGAGUUGGACCAGGUGGG